CUCCACACGCGCCCUCUUGUGGCUGCUCAGUGCUCCCAGCUCGCAGGUUCUGCUCUGCUUGCUUCUAGUAUUCCCUCUGCCCUCCGGGGUUUCCACUCAGCACGAGAAGCUGCUGAGUCCCUCUAAAGGCUCUGAAGGCAGUUAAAAAGGGAGGUGGUUUGCGUCAGGAUUGGAAUCUUCUGGACAAGGGAACUGAGAUGAGGCUUUUAGGGAGUUGCCGUCAGCCGUGAAUACAUCCGGACGUGAGGCCGCCAUGACAUGAGCAGCAUUCCUUCACCAUACCUGUAAGCUGUGAAGUUUAUGCCUUGGACACAACCAACCUGAGGAUGAAAACUCUGAAACCAUGAGCCUCAAGCCUUUCAUUCUUUAUGUUGUCUAUGCCAAGUAUUUUGUUGCAACAACAGAAAGGUGACUAAUGUAUGCAACAUUAUAUUGUACUGCAGCCUUCCAAACUUGGCAGCUGUGGCUAGUAGAAACAGCCUUUGUAACCUUUGUUCUUUUGUGUGUGUGUAGCUCCCUAAUACUCUCUCUUUAAAAGAAAUACAAAACAAAGUAUGGGUAUGAUAACAUUU
Non-coding RNA from Heterocephalus glaber (naked mole-rat), 572 nucleotides. NCBI's taxonomy places the organism in Eukaryota, Metazoa, Chordata, Mammalia, Rodentia, Bathyergidae. The record is from RefSeq and is a predicted model, not a curated record.